Molecule: long non-coding RNA, 1804 nt
Organism: Olea europaea var. sylvestris
Lineage: Eukaryota; Viridiplantae; Streptophyta; Magnoliopsida; Lamiales; Oleaceae
Exons: 3
Source: RefSeq, a predicted model, not a curated record
GAACAGUAAUUUUUAUUUAUUUCAUUAUUUAUUUUACUAAGAAAGAAAACUGGAAAAAAAAAAUUGAAAACUGCUGCUCUUACUACAAAUUGUUUCAUUUGUGGUGUUCUACAAGUUUUUUGCAACACCAAUAGGAAUACUCAAUGAAGAAUGAGAAAACCAAUCAACAGAAAUAAGAAAUCAGGGGAAGAGAUGACGGAAUAAGAAAAUAAUAGAAGAGGGAGAAGAAUAAUGAAAGAAAGGGAAAAUUGCCACAAGCCACCAAAUAAUUUUAUUCAAUCAUCAACAAAAUGAAAUUAUAUGGCAAAUUAGGUUUAAAUAGUAAAAACAAAACCCUAACUAGAACGGGCUUGAUUUCCAACUACAUAAAUAAGAAACAAAAAUAAAGUCCAACUGGAAAUAAAUAAAAAUAGAUGUCCUCAUCACAUACCACAGAAGAAGUUCUUGAUGCUUAUAUUGAAGCGAUUGAACCCGUCCGAGCAGCAUUGACAUCUUGCUUGCGUUGCCAAGUAAUGGAUGACAUCAUGGAGGCUUGAAGAAACAUGAUUGGUUCAGAGGAUUUGAUAUGUCUGAUGAAUACCUAAGAGAUGUACACUGGAGCAGUGGAACAAGCAAGCUAUCGAAGUUGGGGCUGCAGUUUUUAUUGCAGUAAUCAUGUGGUUGUUUGGGAUUCACUAUGGGGACAGAGAAAGAGGUGAUGCUGAAUCAUCAAUCCGAUCACCCUCAUUACCUUGCUGUGUCCCGAAGUUUUUGUAACCGGCAGCCCCUUCUGGCAUGAACUCAUCUCCUUGCGGCUAUCAAAGCUCUGCUGAUUAUCCCUUCCAUUAACUUGCCUAAGUGCAUUAAUGUUUUUGGUGUGGAAUGGCCAUUUUGACCCUGAAAUUUUAUGAUGCUAUUUUCAUAUUAUGGAUAAAAAGGUCAUUUCACGUUGAUAACUUCCUAAUACCAUUACAAUUUUCCUUGAACUCCCGAAAGCUAUUUUAUGUUAAAAAAUGACCUCUAUCAACUCACUUGAAUCUCUUCGCAAUGAAGGAAAAUUAGAAUUUUGUUAUUGCUCAAAGCAUUAGAUAAUUGGCCAUGGUGUGCUUUCCCCUAGUGGUUAACGGAUCCUGGCAAUUCAAAAAUAAGUGCUGGAGACUGAACUAUAACAAGCAUUAAUAUGACCAUGUAAUUUUCCUGGACAGUGCAUGGAGGCAUAGGUGAAGACAGCACACUCCAGUCAUUGUUGGAGGCUGAAGGAGUCCUUUAUACAGGCCAUCGCAUCAAGGCUUCCAAGACAUGAAUGGACAAAGUUGCUGAAAAUGAAUGUGCUUUGACAAUUUGUCAUAGCAUUUGUGUGUGACAUAUACACAAGGAAACUUUACAUGCAAAGCUUAGGGCAAAUAAGGUAUGUGCGGAGAAGUUCGCAGAAUUAAUCCUUAGGUGUAAUCUUCGGUCAUUGGGGCUGUGCUUCCUAUUUGAAGAGGCAACAAUCGUGGAGUCUUCAAUCAUGGAGUUGCUGACAUUAGGCUGCAUAAUAUCUGUUAAUUUAGAGGCGACAGUUGUGGAGUCUUCAAUCAUGGAGUUGCUGACAUUGGAGAGCAUAACAUCAGUUAGUUUAACCCCACCCCUCGAGCGGUGGCAAGCAAACAGGGAGAUCACAGAACUCCUAGCAUUAUUGUGAAAGAAACUGGAGAUAUCCUCGAGGAUAUAUUUCAAAGUAUGUAAAACAAAUUAAUAACUAUAUAGUUGAAGUCAUAAUUUAUGAAUUACUGGUAAAUUCACCAUAUUUCAGCAAAUAAAUUAUAGCUAGGGCCUUACAAGA